This 497-nucleotide ribosomal RNA is filed under the name uncultured bacterium. Its description in RNAcentral is "partial 16S ribosomal RNA". It matches the Rfam family "Bacterial small subunit ribosomal RNA", at positions 28 to 507 of the family's 1533-position model. The record is from RNAcentral.
GAUGAACGCUGGCGGCGUGCCUAAUACAUGCAAGUCGAGCGAACAGACGAGGAGCUUGCUCCUCUGACGUUAGCGGCGGACGGGUGAGUAACACGUGGAUAACCUACCUCUAAGACUGGGAUAACUUCGGGAAACCGGAGCUAAUACCGGAUAAUAUAUUGAACCGCAUGGUUCAAUAGUGAAAGACGGUUUUGCUGUCACUUAUAGAUGGAUCCGCGCUGCAUUAGCUAGUUGGUAAGGUAACGGCCUACCAAGGCAACGAUGCGUAGCCGACCUGAGAGGGUGAUCAGCCACACUGGAACUGAGACACGGUCCAGACUCCUACGGGAGGCAGCAGUAGGGAAUCUUGCACCAUGGGCGAAAGCCUGACCGAGCCACGCCGCGUGGGUGAAGAAGGUCUUCGGAUCGUAAAACUCUUUUAUUGGGGAAGAAAAAAUGUGUAAGUAAACAUGGCCGUCCUGACGGUACCUAAACAAAAAGCCCCGGCUAACUUCGUG